AAUCAACGCUGGCGGCGUGCCUCAGACAUGCAAGUCGAACGAUUAAAGCUCUCUUCGGAGAGUGCAUAGAGUGGCGCACGGGUGAGUAACACGUAAGUAAUCUACCCUCGAGUGGGGAAUAACGUCCGGAAACGGACGCUAAUACCGCAUAAUGCAGCGGCACCGCAAGGUGACAGUUGUUAAAGAUUUAUCGCUUGAGGAGGAGCUUGCGGCAGAUUAGCUAGUUGGUAAGGUAAUGGCUUACCAAGGCUACGAUCUGUAACCGGUCUUAGAGGACGGUCGGUCACACUGACACUGAAUAACGGGUCAGACUCCUACGGGAGGCAGCAGUCGGGAAUUUUGGGCAAUGGGCGAAAGCCUGACCCAGCAACGCCGCGUGAAGGAUGAAGUAUUUCGGUAUGUAAACUUCGAAAGAAUAGGAAGAAUAAAUGACGGUACUAUUUAUAAGGUCCGGCUAACUACGUGCCAGCAGCCGCGGUAAGGCGUAUGUUGU
This 493-nucleotide ribosomal RNA is filed under the name uncultured bacterium. Its description in RNAcentral is "bacterial SSU rRNA". It matches the Rfam family "Bacterial small subunit ribosomal RNA", at positions 32 to 535 of the family's 1533-position model. The record is from RNAcentral.